UGUGGGAGCGGGCUUGCUCGCGAAGGCGGUGGAUCAGUGGAAAUCCAUGUAUUUGAUCCACCGUCUUCGCGAGCAAGCCCGCUCCCACA
RNAcentral lists this non-coding RNA (89 nucleotides) under Pseudomonas sp. SJZ074. The record is from RNAcentral. Lineage: Bacteria; Pseudomonadati; Pseudomonadota; Gammaproteobacteria; Pseudomonadales; Pseudomonadaceae. RNAcentral also lists the same sequence under 1 other name.